Molecule: transfer RNA, 73 nt
Filed under: Bos taurus (domestic cattle)
Lineage: Eukaryota; Metazoa; Chordata; Mammalia; Artiodactyla; Bovidae
Also listed under: 4 other names
Rfam family: tRNA
About the family: Transfer RNA (tRNA) molecules are approximately 80 nucleotides in length. Their secondary structure includes four short double-helical elements and three loops (D, anti-codon, and T loops). Further hydrogen bonds mediate the characteristic L-shaped molecular structure. tRNAs have two regions of fundamental functional importance: the anti-codon, which is responsible for specific mRNA codon recognition, and the 3' end, to which the tRNAs corresponding amino acid is attached (by aminoacyl-tRNA synthetases). tRNAs cope with the degeneracy of the genetic code in two manners: having more than one tRNA (with a specific anti-codon) for a particular amino acid; and 'wobble' base-pairing, i.e. permitting non-standard base-pairing at the 3rd anti-codon position.
Source: Rfam by way of RNAcentral
UCUCUGGAGGUCCAGCGGUUAAGACUCUGCACUUCCAUUGCAGGGGGCACGGGUUCGACCCCUGGUUGGAGAA